CUCUCUCUCUCUCUUCUCUCUCUCUCUCUCUUUCCGCUAGACGUGUGGCUGUCUUCGUGUUCCGAUGGCUGGCACGAAGAGACACGUAAUGGCCGCUCGAUGCAAUGUGGCCGAUGAAGAAGAAGGUUACCACUCUGAUCGUGGUAUAAGCGUAUGCUUCCUCGGUGAACAGCGCGCCAAGCGACAGAGCAGAAGCGGAUGGCAAGGGCGCCACACAUACAAUUGCAUAUGACGCUGUCAUAUAAUAAUAUAAGAAAAAUGGAAAAAGUUUUUAUAAUUAAUAAUAUUGCACAUAUAAUGAAAUCAAGUAACGGUGCAUCUGAUAGUGACUCUGAUACAAUGGAGAAAAUAUUAAUAAUAUUAAAGAAAAGUAGAUCAAAUUUUAUAUCUAAAAUACGUUGUAGAAGAUGUAAUAUCUCGAUAUACAAACAAAGAAUUUAAAAUUCACUUUCGAUUACAUCGGAAUACAUUUUUUUUAUAUUGGAAUUAAUAGGGCCAAUCUUAGAAAGGGAUGGAAAAUCAGGUAGAGGCAUGAUUUCUCCUGAAAAACAAUUAAAGCAAUAAUUUCGUAUAUAAUAAUGUUUAUACAAACUUGGUGUAGCGCGAAUGAUCGAAUCUGCUACAAUAUAUCAAACUUUAUUAUUAUUUCGCAAUGCUUUUUGUGCAUUUUCUUUAUUUAUUAUUAUUUUAUAUUGAAUAUUUGUUUCUGCACCGAGUAGGGUUAACUCUUCUUUCUCGAACGUCGCCAUUUUGUACUAUAACUGUUGAGUCUUUUUAGCUACAGUAGCCGCAGCAGGAAGUGACGACAAAAUUUAUGACGUCAUUAUUCUAUCGUAGUGCUAUCGCAGCACACUGGAAUGAAUUUCGGAACGGCAUUACAGUACUAUCAGUACUGGCAGUGAGUUACGGAAUGCAGCCCAAGUCUCCUUACACCAUGGGUGUAAAUGAGUAGACUUAUUUCUGCUGAUUCUUAUAUAUUUAAUUGUAAUUAUUUUAAUAACUCACAAGACCUUUUAAUGACACUUCAUAAUUUCUUUAUACAAAAUACAAACAAUUCCAUAUG
Molecule: long non-coding RNA, 1063 nt
Organism: Pogonomyrmex barbatus (red harvester ant)
Lineage: Eukaryota; Metazoa; Arthropoda; Insecta; Hymenoptera; Formicidae
Source: RefSeq, a predicted model, not a curated record